CCUUUACCGUGAAAAAAUUAGAGUGUUCAAAGCAGGCAGAUCCAAUUUUCUGCCACCGAAUACAUUAGCAUGGGAUAAUGGAAUAGGACCCUGUCCUCCUAUUUUCAGUUGGUUUUGGCAGCGCGAGGACUAGGGUAAUGAUUAAUAGGGAUAGUUGGGGGCAUUAAUAUUUAAUUGUCAGAGGUGAAAUUCUUGGAUUUAUGAAAGAUUAACUUCUGCGAAAGCAUCUGCCAAGGAUGUUUUCAUUAAUCAAGAACGAAAGUUAGGGGAUCGAAGACGAUCAGAUACCGUCGUAGUCUUAACCAUAAACGAUGCCGACCAGCGAUUAGGAGACGUUGAAUACAAAACACCACCAUCGGUUGCGGUCGUCCUUGGCGUCUCGGUUUCGGCCGGGGCGCGGGGAUGGCUUAGCCCGGUGGCACCGGUGAAUGACUCCCUAGG
RNAcentral lists this ribosomal RNA (441 nucleotides) under Acanthamoeba sp. RNAcentral's name for it is "SSU rRNA". The stretch from base 1 to 388 matches the Rfam family "Eukaryotic small subunit ribosomal RNA", at positions 749 to 1116 of the family's 1831-position model. Lineage: Eukaryota; Discosea; Longamoebia; Acanthamoebidae. The record is from RNAcentral.